RNAcentral lists this small RNA (2272 nucleotides) under Pongo abelii (Sumatran orangutan). Its description in RNAcentral is "retained intron". The record is from RNAcentral. Lineage: Eukaryota; Metazoa; Chordata; Mammalia; Primates; Hominidae.
AAGCCCUCCUUCCCACCCUCAACCUCUGCUGUCAAAGUCAACCUUAGUGAAAAGUUUACUGCCGCAGCUACCUCUACUCCUGUUAGUAGCUCCCAGAGCGCACCCUCGAUGCCGCCAUUCUCUUCUGCCUCCAAGCCAGCUACUUCUGGACCGCUCAGCCACCCCACGCCUCUCUCAGCAUCACCUAGUUCCGUGCCAUUGAAGUCCUCAGUCUUGCCCUCACCAUCAGGCAAAGUCACUUCAGCCUGCUGUUGCAGAGAAGCAGGGACAUCAGUGGAAAGAUUCAGAUCCUGUAAUGGCUGGAAUUGGGGAGGAGAUUGCACACUUUCAGAAGGAGUUGGAAGAGUUAAAAGCCCGAACUUCCAAAGCCUGUUUCCAAGUGGGCACUUCUGAGGAGAUGAAGAUGCUGCGAACAGAAUCAGAUGACUUGCAUACCUUUCUUUUGGAGAUUAAAGAGACCACAGAGUCGCUUCAUGGAGACAUAAGUAGCCUGAAAACAACUUUACUUGAGGGCUUUGCUGGUGUUGAGGAAGCCAGAGAACAAAAUGAAAGAAAUCGUGACUCUGGUUAUCUGCAUUUGCUUUAUAAAAGACCACUGGAUCCCAAGAGUGAAGCUCAGCUUCAGGAAAUUCGGCGCCUUCAUCAGUAUGUGAAAUUUGCUGUCCAAGAUGUGAAUGAUGUUCUAGAUUUGGAGUGGGAUCGGCAUCUGGAACAAAAGAAAAAACAAAGGCACCUGCUUGUGCCAGAGCGAGAGACACUGUUUAACACCCUAGCCAACAACCGGGAAAUCAUCAACCAACAGAGGAAGAGGCUGAAUCACCUGGUGGACAGUCUUCAGCAGCUCCGCCUUUACAACCAGACUUCCCCGUGGAGCCUGCCCUCGGCUGUUCCUUCCCAGAGCAGCAUUCACAGUUUUGACAGUGACCUUGAAAGCCUGCGCAAUGCUUUGUUGAAAACCACCAUAGAAUCUCACACCAAAUCCUUGCCCAAAGUACCAGCCAAACUGUCCCCCAUGAAACAGGCACAACUGAGAAACUUCUUGGCCAAGAGGAAGACCCCACCAGUGAGAUCCACUGCUCCAGCCAGCCUGUCUCGAUCAGCCUUUCUGUCUCAGAGAUAUUAUGAAGACUUGGAUGAAGUCAGCUCAACGUCAUCUGUCUCCCAGUCUCUGGAGAGUGAAGAUGCACGGACGUCCUAUAAAGAUGAGGAGGCAGUGGUUCAGGCCCCUCGGCACGCCCCCGUGGUUCGCACUCCUUCCGUCCAGCCCAGUCUCUUGCCCCAUGCAGCACCUUUUGCUAAAUCUCACCUGGUUCAUGGUUCUUCACCUGGUGUGAUGGGAACUUCAGUGGCUACAUCUGCUAGCAAAAUUAUUCCUCAAGGGGCCGAUAGCACAAUGCUUGCCACGAAAACCGUGAAACAUGGUGCACCUAGUCCUUCCCACCCCAUCUCAGCCCCGCAGGCAGCUGCCGCAGCAGCACUCAGGCGGCAGAUGGCCAGUCAGGCACCAGCUGUAAACACUUUGACUGAAUCAACGUUGAAGAAUGUCCCUCAAGUGGUAAAUGUGCAGGAAUUGAAGAAUAACCCUGCAACCCCUUCUACAGCCAUGGGUUCUUCAGUGGCCUACUCCGCAGCCAAAACACCUCACCCAGUGUUGACCCCAGUGGCCGCUAACCAAGCCAAGCAGGGGUCUCUAAUAAAUCCCCUUAAGCCAUCUGGGCCUACACCAGCAUCCGGUCAGUUAUCAUCUGGUGACAAAGCUUCAGGGACAGCCAAGAUAGAAACAGCUGUGACUUCGACCCCAUCUGCUUCUGGGCAGUUCAGCAAGCCUUUCUCAUUUUCUCCAUCAGGGACUGGCUUUAAUUUUGGGAUAAUCACACCAACACCGUCUUCUAAUUUCACUGCUGCACAAGGUACAGACUCUGUUCAGUAGCAUUACUCAUGUGUUUUCUCUAAACAAGUACAGGUUAUUUUUGCCCACAUGUUAGUAUCUGACUUGUUCCUGAGUCUUACUUACAGUAUCUGCAAUAAGCUCAGUGUUGAUAAUGUGCAUUAGAAAUAUGCUUAAUUUAAGAAACUGAUGUGAAGGAUUUCUAUUUUUAUAAUUAAGGACAAGGAAAGGAUUUGCUUCUAGAAAAUCAGGGCUGUGCUUUAACAUUUAAACGUUAGCAUGUGAAUUAAAAUUUCUCCAUUUUUUAUCUGUAAUUUAAAAUUUCAUCAAUUUAUAGGGUGAGUCUGUAGGGCAAGAUAGACAUGGUAAUAGAUAGGCUGUAGA